Molecule: ribosomal RNA, 754 nt
Filed under: uncultured Actinomyces sp.
Lineage: Bacteria; Bacillati; Actinomycetota; Actinomycetes; Actinomycetales; Actinomycetaceae
Description: bacterial SSU rRNA
Rfam family: Bacterial small subunit ribosomal RNA
Source: RNAcentral
GACGAACGCUGGCGGCGUGCUUAACACAUGCAAGUCGAACGCUGAAGCCUGGCUUUUGUUGGGUGGAUGAGUGGCGAACGGGUGAGUAACACGUGAGUAACCUGCCCUCUUCUUUGGGAUAACGCCCGGAAACGGGUGCUAAUACUGGAUAUUCACUUGCCUUCGCAUGGGGGUGGGUGGAAAGGGUUUUUUCUGGUGGGGGAUGGGCUCGCGGCCUAUCAGCUUGUUGGUGGGGUGAUGGCUUACCAAGGCUUUGACGGGUAGCCGGCCUGAGAGGGUGACCGGUCACAUUGGGACUGAGAUACGGCCCAGACUCCUACGGGAGGCAGCAGUGGGGAAUAUUGCACAAUGGGCGCAAGCCUGAUGCAGCGACGCCGCGUGAGGGAUGGAGGCCUUCGGGUUGUGAACCUCUUUCGCUCAUGGUCAAGCCGCAACUCAUGGUUGUGGUGAGGGUAGUGGGUAAAGAAGCGCCGGCUAACUACGUGCCAGCAGCCGCGGUAAUACGUAGGGCGCGAGCGUUGUCCGGAAUUAUUGGGCGUAAAGGGCUUGUAGGCGGUUGGUCGCGUCUGCCGUGAAAUCCUCUGGCUUAACUGGGGGCGUGCGGUGGGUACGGGCUGGCUUGAGUGCGGUAGGGGAGACUGGAACUCCUGGUGUAGCGGUGGAAUGCGCAGAUAUCAGGAAGAACACCGGUGGCGAAGGCGGGUCUCUGGGCCGUUACUGACGCUGAGGAGCGAAAGCGUGGGGAGCGAGCAGG